Phyllostomus discolor (pale spear-nosed bat) is the source of this 980-nucleotide non-coding RNA. NCBI's taxonomy places the organism in Eukaryota, Metazoa, Chordata, Mammalia, Chiroptera, Phyllostomidae. The record is from the annotation of a RefSeq genome assembly.
CAAGUGACUAGAAUCAGACAUCAGAGAGCUCCAGGCUCAUCUUGGCAGACUUUGUAUUUUUAUCCAGCAAGGAACUUGUCCAACCUACCCUCCCCUACAUCUUUUACUUCCAAGGUUUUGCUUUCUGUAGCUACUUUCCUGCCUGCACAGAGGAGAUUUUCCAGAAAAGAGCCCCCAGCAUUUCUACUGCUCAGCCAUGCUCCUGUUGCUUAUCCCAAUACUGGAGAUGAUAUUUGUCCUGAGAGAUGCCAGAGCCCAGUCAGUGACUCAGCCUGACAGCUAUGUCAGUGUCUCUGAAGAAGCCUCAUUGGAGCUGAGGUGCAAGUAUUCUUAUAGUGGAGUUCCUUAUCUCUACUGGUAUGUCCAAUACCCUGGCCAAGGCCUCCAGCUUCUCAUCAAGCACUUUUCAGGAGAUAGCUGGGCUCAAGGCAUCAAAGACUUUGGGGCUGAAUUAAAGAAGAAUGAAUCUUCCUUCAACCUGAAGAAAUCCUCAACCCAUUGGAGGGACUCAGCUGUGUACUUCUGUGCGCUGAGUGACACAGUGUCUGGGACUGCAGGGGGAGCUGAACAGAAACCACUCAGCAUGUGGAGUUUUCUCAGACUUAAGAUGUGUUCUUGUGGGGGGAGCAUUUGGCCAUAACAAUUGUCCUGCUUAUAGAAAUUUAUUUAAGAAAUUGGCUCAUGUGACUGUGGAGACAGACAAGUCCAAUGUUAUUAUGUAGGCUGGAAAUUCAGGAAAGAGUUGAAGUUGCAGUCUUAAGUCCUAAGUCCUUAGGUCAGGCUGACAGGAUCAAAGUCAGGCUGGAUUUCCAUGUUAGAUUCUUGAGGAAGAAUUCCUUUUGUCCUAGAAACCUUGUUGUUUUGCUUCAUCUAAUUGGAUGAAAGCUAUUUUUCCUGUGGUAUUUUUAACAAUCUUAUGCUAUAUGUUAGCAAGUGAGGCAAAGAGAGGUGUAAAGACCCAAGCAUUUUAUAUAAUUCUA